AGCAGAGCCCAGCCCCAUGCCUGCUCCUGACAGCAGUCGGAGCAGGCGAGCUGGAACUGCCGUGAGCAGCUUCUCCAACGAGCUGGCUGGUUGAGCUGUCCCCAGCGCGGCCUGUCACUGAGAGUUGCAGGGAAAGAUGGAGGAAGAAACAUGAAGACCCAGCAGGAUUAAACUGGACUUCAAGGCUGAUGUCACUGGCAGAAGUUGUUCUUUUUAUCAUGAGUUAGUCUACAUGGCACCAACCUGCUGGCAACAUACGGGUGGACAAGAACAGAGAGAUGGCCCUGCCACCAUACAGACGGGUUCCAAUACUACCUGACCAGGUGGUAUCAGCAUCCAGUCCUGUGUUGUGCUGUAGUAUUGCCUCAACCCCAGCAAGCUUUGGGCAGGACAGGACUGUGAAGCUGCAGAAACAGCCCU
Long non-coding RNA from Melospiza melodia melodia, 420 nucleotides. RefSeq lists it as uncharacterized. Lineage: Eukaryota; Metazoa; Chordata; Aves; Passeriformes; Passerellidae. The transcript has 3 exons. The record is from RefSeq and is a predicted model, not a curated record.